Molecule: ribosomal RNA, 207 nt
Filed under: uncultured bacterium
Lineage: Bacteria
Description: partial 16S ribosomal RNA
Rfam family: Bacterial small subunit ribosomal RNA
Source: RNAcentral
UACGUAGGGUGCAAGCGUUGUCCGGAAUUAUUGGGCGUAAAGAGCUCGUAGGCGGUUCGUCGCGUCGGCUGUGAAACCUGAGGCUCAACCUCAGGCCUGCAGGUCGAUACGGGCGGACUUGAGUACUGGCAGGGAGACUGGAAUUCCUGGUGUAGCGGUGAAAUGCGCAGAUAUCGAGGAGGAACACCGGUGGCGAAGGCGGGUCUC